Molecule: ribosomal RNA, 559 nt
Filed under: uncultured bacterium
Lineage: Bacteria
Description: partial 16S ribosomal RNA
Rfam family: Bacterial small subunit ribosomal RNA
Source: RNAcentral
UGGGGAAUCUUAGACAAUGGGGGCAACCCUGAUCUAGCCAUGCCGCGUGAGUGAUGAAGGCCUUAGGGUUGUAAAGCUCUUUCAGCUGGGAAGAUAAUGACGGUACCAGCAGAAGAAGCCCCGGCUAACUCCGUGCCAGCAGCCGCGGUAAUACGGAGGGGGCUAGCGUUGUUCGGAAUUACUGGGCGUAAAGCGCACGUAGGCGGACUGGAAAGUCAGAGGUGAAAUCCCAGGGCUCAACCUUGGAACUGCCUUUGAAACUAUCAGUCUGGAGUUCGAGAGAGGUGAGUGGAAUUCCGAGUGUAGAGGUGAAAUUCGUAGAUAUUCGGAGGAACACCAGUGGCGAAGGCGGCUCACUGGCUCGAUACUGACGCUGAGGUGCGAAAGCGUGGGGAGCAAACAGAUUAGAUACCCAGGUAGUCCACGCCGUAAACGAUGAAUGCCGACGUCGGCAAGCAUGCUUGUCGGUGUCACACCUAACGGAUUAAGCAUUCCGCCUGGGGAGUACGGUCGCAAGAUUAAAACUUAAAUGAAUUGACGGGGAUCAUAGCUGUUUCCU